Molecule: long non-coding RNA, 294 nt
Filed under: Ananas comosus (pineapple)
Lineage: Eukaryota; Viridiplantae; Streptophyta; Magnoliopsida; Poales; Bromeliaceae
Description: long non-coding RNA (ACOM_LNC019867)
Source: RNAcentral
AAAAAGAAAAAGAAAUUGUGUAAAUUUCACUUAAAAAGUGCAACUUUUGCCUAAAAAGUGUAACUCUCAUUUCACAUAGUGUAAUUUCUGUCUCAAAGAGUGCAACUUUCAUUUAAAAUAGUGCAAUUUUUUUUUCAAACAGUAUAAUUUUAUUUUAACAGUGCAAUUUCAUUAUAUUCUUUCUUCUUCUAUAAUAUUUUAUCUUUACUGUAAAAAAAAUAUUUUUAUUUUUAUUUUUUUUCUCUCUAUAAUUUUUUUUUGUCAUGACCGGAGUAUAAUUAUUUUUCUCCUCCU